This 403-nucleotide ribosomal RNA is filed under the name uncultured bacterium. RNAcentral describes it as "partial 16S ribosomal RNA". It matches the Rfam family "Bacterial small subunit ribosomal RNA", at positions 28 to 526 of the family's 1533-position model. The record is from RNAcentral.
GACGAACGCUGGCGGCGUGCCUAAUACAUGCAAGUCGAACGCAGUGGGAGCGGGUGAGUGACACGUGGGUAACCUCCCAUCAGAGGGGAUAACACUUGGCAACAGGUGCUAAACCGAUACUGAUGGAUCAACCCGCGGUGCAUUCGCUAGUUGGUGGGGUACCGGCUCACCAAGUCCACGAUGCCUAGCCGACCUGAGAGGGUGAUCUGCCACACUGGGACUGAGACACGGCCCAGACUCCUACGGGAGGCAGCAGUAGGGAAUCUUCGGCAAUGGACGAAAGUCUGACCGAGCAACGCCGCGUGAGUGAAGAAGGUUUUCGGAUCGUAAAACUCUGUUGUUAGAGAAGCGGUAUCUAACCAGAAAGCCACGGCUAACUACGUGCCAGCAGCCGCGGUAAUUC